RNAcentral lists this long non-coding RNA (223 nucleotides) under Lathyrus oleraceus (garden pea). RNAcentral describes it as "Pisum sativum (pea) long non-coding RNA (PSAT_LNC014513)". Lineage: Eukaryota; Viridiplantae; Streptophyta; Magnoliopsida; Fabales; Fabaceae. The record is from RNAcentral.
AAGGCAUCUUGUUCACCCCUUUGAGCCUUAUGUUAGAAUCCAUGUUGGUGUUGAGCUCAUUUUUGUAUGGGUUAUAAUAUUUUCCUUGAACCAUGACCAUGAUUUGUGGUUGAAUUUUUACUCUUGCCUUAAAGUUUAGGAGCAUUCACAAUACAUGAUUGGUUGUAUUUAAGUUGGGGAGAAGAAAGGUUGGUUGUUAAGAGGUUGAUAAAAAGAAAAAGAU